GUAAAUGGCUGCAUAAAUCUGAGUGUACUAAGGUAGCGCUAUAAUUUGCCUUUUAAAUGGGGGCUGGUAUGAACGGGUUCACGUGAGAGUUGCUGUGUCAUAAAAAUUUUUUGAAAUUAACCUUUAGGUGAAGAGGCCUAAGUAAAAUUAAAGGACGACAAGACCCUAGAAGCUUUACUAAGGGUAGGUUAAUAUGUUAAUUUAUUUAAGUUUUGUUGGGGCAACAUAGUUAGAAAGUAUAACUUGUUUUUAUAAACUGACAAGUUAAAACCACAUUGGUGAAUAAGAUAAGCUACUCUAGGGAUAACAGCGUUAUUUUUUUUAAUAGUACGUAUUGUAAAAAAAGUUUGCGACCUCGAUGUUGGACUAAGGUGUCCUUAAGGUGUAGAAGUCUUAAAGGGUUGGCCUGUUCGUCCAUUAAAACCUUACA
RNAcentral lists this ribosomal RNA (430 nucleotides) under Idas sp. Med. Its description in RNAcentral is "partial 16S ribosomal RNA". It matches the Rfam family "Bacterial large subunit ribosomal RNA", at positions 1923 to 2600 of the family's 2925-position model. The record is from RNAcentral. Lineage: Eukaryota; Metazoa; Mollusca; Bivalvia; Mytilida; Modiolidae.